Molecule: ribosomal RNA, 344 nt
Filed under: uncultured crenarchaeote
Lineage: Archaea; Thermoproteati; Thermoproteota
Description: bacterial SSU rRNA
Rfam family: Archaeal small subunit ribosomal RNA (bases 1-288)
Source: RNAcentral
UGGUGACACGGAAAACCUCGGGAAACUGGCGACCGGAUUGAUAGGUCAGUUCCUAUGUAAGGAGAGAUGGCUUAAAGGGGUACCCGGGCUUAUUCCGUGGAUCUGCUCCAGGAUGGGACUGCGUCCGAUCAGGCUGUUGGCGGGGUAAUGGCCCACCAAACCGGUAACCGGUACGGGCCUUGAGAGAGGGGGCCCGGAGAUGGGCACUGAGAGAAGGGUCCAGGUCUUACGGGGCGCAGCAGGCGCGAACCCCUCGCAAUGCGCGAAAGCGAAGCGAGGUUAGUCCGAGUGACCAGCGCUGAGGGGAUCUUCGUCACCUCUAAACAGGCAGGCGAAUACGACCA